RNAcentral lists this unclassified non-coding RNA (233 nucleotides) under plant metagenome. RNAcentral describes it as "partial contains small subunit ribosomal RNA, internal transcribed spacer 1, and 5.8S ribosomal RNA". The record is from RNAcentral.
UUUCCGUAGGUGAACCUGCGGAAGGAUCAUUACCGAGUGAGGGCCCUCUGGGUCCAACCUCCCACCCGUGUUUAUUUUACCUUGUUGCUUCGGCGGGCCGCCGUAUGGCCGCCGGGGGGCUUCUGCCCCCGGGCCCGCGCCCGCCGAAGACACCUCGAACUCUGUCUGAAGAUUGUAGUCUGAGUAUAAAUAUAAAUUAUUUAAAACUUUCAACAACGGAUCUCUUGGUUCCG